GGAUAACUACCCUUUAGGACCGGGAUAACCCUGGGAAACUGGGGAUAAUACUGGAUAGGCAAUUUUUCCUGUAAUGGUUUUUUGUUUAAAUGUUUUUUUCGCCUAAGGAUGGGUCUGCGGCCGAUUAGGUAGUUGGUUAGGUAAUGGCUUACCAAGCCGUUGAUCGGUACGGGUUGUGAGAGCAAGAGCCCGGAGAUGGAACCUGAGACAAGGUUCCAGGCCCUACGGGGUGCAGCAGGCGCGAAACCUCCGCAAUGUGAGAAAUCGCGACGGGGGGAUCCCAAGUGCCAUUCUUAACGGGAUGGCUUUUCAUUAGUGUAAAGAGCUUUUGGAAUAAGAGCUGGGCAAGACCGGUGCCAGCCGCCGCGGUAACACCGGCAGCUCUAGUGGUAGCAAUUUUUAUUGGGCCUAAAGCGUCCGUAGCCGGUUUAAUAAGUCUCUGGUGAAAUCCUGCAGCUUAACUGUGGGAAUUGCUGGAGAUACUAUUAGACUUGAGACCGGGAGAGGUUAGAGGUACUCCCAGGGUAGAGGUGAAAUUCUGUAAUCCUGGGAGGACCGCCUGUUGCGAAGGCGUCUAACUGGAACGGUUCUGACGGUGAGGGACGAAAGUUAGGGGCGCGAACCGGAUUAGAUACCCGGGUAGUCCUAACUGUAAACGAUGCGGACUUGGUGUUGGGGUGGCUUUGAGCUGCUUCAGUGCCGAAGGGAAGCUGUUAAGUCCGCCGCCUGGGAAGUACGGUCGCAAGACUGAAACUUAA
RNAcentral lists this ribosomal RNA (758 nucleotides) under uncultured archaeon. Its description in RNAcentral is "bacterial SSU rRNA". It matches the Rfam family "Archaeal small subunit ribosomal RNA", at positions 102 to 859 of the family's 1478-position model. The record is from RNAcentral.